UACAGAGGGGGGCAAGCGUUUAUUCGGAAUUAUUGGGCGUAAAGGGCGCGUAGGCGGCAUGGCAAGUGGAUGGUGAAAUCCCUCGGCUUAACCGAGGAACUGCCGUCCAAACUGCUUCGCUUGAGACCGGGAGAGGUGAGUGGAAUUCCCAGUGUAGCGGUGAAAUGCGCAGAUAUCAGGAGGAACACCAAUGGCGAAGGCAGCUCGCUGGGACGGUACUGACGCUGAGGCGCGAAAGCGUGGGGAGCAAACAGG
This 255-nucleotide ribosomal RNA is filed under the name uncultured bacterium. RNAcentral's name for it is "partial 16S ribosomal RNA". It matches the Rfam family "Bacterial small subunit ribosomal RNA", at positions 524 to 776 of the family's 1533-position model. The record is from RNAcentral.